UGAGGAAUAUUGGUCAAUGGGCGAGAGCCUGAACCAGCCAAGUAGCGUGCAGGAAGACGGCCCUAUGGGUUGUAAACUGCUUUUAUGUGGGGAUAAAGUGCGUGACGUGUCAUGCAUUGCAGGUACCACAUGAAUAAGGACCGGCUAAUUCCGUGCCAGCAGCCGCGGUAAUACGGAAGGUCCGGGCGUUAUCCGGAUUUAUUGGGUUUAAAGGGAGCGUAGGCUGUCUAUUAAGCGUGUUGUGAAAUUUACCGGCUCAACCGGUGGCUUGCAGCGCGAACUGGUCGACUUGAGUAUGCAGGAAGUAGGCGGAAUUCAUGGUGUAGCGGUGAAAUGCUUAGAUAUCAUGAAGAACUCCGAUUGCGAAGGCAGCUUACGGGAGUGUUACUGACGCUUAAGCUCGAAGGUGCGGGUAUCGAACAGG
RNAcentral lists this ribosomal RNA (424 nucleotides) under Verrucomicrobiota bacterium. Its description in RNAcentral is "Verrucomicrobia bacterium partial 16S ribosomal RNA". It matches the Rfam family "Bacterial small subunit ribosomal RNA", at positions 355 to 776 of the family's 1533-position model. The record is from RNAcentral. Lineage: Bacteria; Pseudomonadati; Verrucomicrobiota.